GGUUUUCUGUGAGAUUAUAGAGAAUCGGGCCUGCCCAAUGGAUUUGAAUGGCCGCAGUAUUUUGACUGUGCUAAGGUAGCAAAAUAAUUAGUUUUGUGAUUUAAGACUGGAAUGAAAGGUUUGACGAAAGGCCAACUGUCUUGGGAUUAGAGUUUGAAUUUUGAGUUGAUGUGAAAAUACAUCAGUUAGUCUGAGGGAAGAGAAGACCCUAUUAAGCUUUACAGGUGGUGUUGCGAGGGUUAGAUGGAACCUUGUGGGAUUGAGCUUGUUUUACUGGGGCGGUAGUGAAAGAGGAGAUCUUUUGAUAGGAUUGUGAGAGUGUGGCGGGAGUGUUUAGAGAUCCAUUAAUUUUAAUGAUAGUGGGAUUAAGUUACUGUAGGGAUAACAGCGUAAUGAUGUUGGAGAGUUCUUAUCGAUAAUGUGUUUUGCGACCUCGAUGUUGAAUUAUUAUGUCUUUUUGGUGUAGAAGCUGGAAAAGAGAGUCUGUUCGACUUUUAAAAUUUUACA
RNAcentral lists this ribosomal RNA (507 nucleotides) under Xerophrynus machadoi. RNAcentral describes it as "partial 16S ribosomal RNA". It matches the Rfam family "Bacterial large subunit ribosomal RNA", at positions 1817 to 2600 of the family's 2925-position model. Lineage: Eukaryota; Metazoa; Arthropoda; Arachnida; Amblypygi; Phrynichidae. The record is from RNAcentral.